UGGGGAAUAUUGGACAAUGGAGGGAACUCUGAUCCAGCAAUUCUGUGUGUGUGAAGAAGGUUUUAGGACUGUAAAACACUUUUAGUAGGGAAGAAAAAAAUGACGGUACCUACAGAAGAAGCAACGGCUAAAUACGUGCCAGCAGCCGCGGUAAUACGUAUGUUGCGAGCGUUAUCCGGAAUUAUUGGGCUUAAAGGGCAUCUAGGCGGUAAGACAAGUUGAAGGUGAAAACCUGUGGCUCAACCAUAGGCUUGCCUACAAAACUGUUGAACUAGAGUACUGGAAAGGUGGGUGGAACUACACGAGUAGAGGUGAAAUUCGUAGAUAUGUGUACGAAUGCCGAUGAUGAAGAUAACUCACUGGACAGAAACUGACGCUGAAGUGCGAAAGCUAGGGGAGCAAACAGG
This 407-nucleotide ribosomal RNA is filed under the name Verrucomicrobiota bacterium. Its description in RNAcentral is "Verrucomicrobia bacterium partial 16S ribosomal RNA". It matches the Rfam family "Bacterial small subunit ribosomal RNA", at positions 355 to 776 of the family's 1533-position model. Lineage: Bacteria; Pseudomonadati; Verrucomicrobiota. The record is from RNAcentral.